GGACUACACGGGUAUCUAAUCCUGUUUGCUCCCCACGCUUUCGCGUCUCAGCGUCAGCAACGGUCCAGAGGGCCGCCUUCGCCGCCGGUGUUCCUCCUGAUAUCUACGCAUUUCACCGCUACACCAGGAAUUCCACCCUCCUCUACCGCGCUCCAGUUGGCCAGUUUCGGAUGCACUUCCGGAGCUGAGCCCCGGGCUUUCACACCCGACAUAACCUACCGCCUACACGCCCUUUACGCCCAGUCAAUCCGAACAACGCUUGCACCCUCCGUCUUACCGCGGCGGCUGGCAC
This 292-nucleotide ribosomal RNA is filed under the name uncultured bacterium. RNAcentral describes it as "partial 16S ribosomal RNA". The record is from RNAcentral.